UGGAUAACUGGGGUGAAGUCGUAACAAGGUAGCCGUAUCGGAAGGUGCGGCUGGAUCACCUCCUUU
RNAcentral lists this ribosomal RNA (66 nucleotides) under Diplocloster agilis. Its description in RNAcentral is "partial 16S ribosomal RNA". It matches the Rfam family "Bacterial small subunit ribosomal RNA", at positions 1468 to 1533 of the family's 1533-position model. Lineage: Bacteria; Bacillati; Bacillota; Clostridia; Lachnospirales; Lachnospiraceae. The record is from RNAcentral.